AUACGUAGGUGACAAGCGUUAUCCGGAUUUACUGGGCGUAAAGGGCGUGUAGGCGGUCUUGCAAGUCAGAAGUGAAAUUCCUGAGCUCAACUCGGGCGCUGCUUCUGAAACUGCAGGACUUGAGUGCUGGAGGGGAUAGCGGAAUUCCUAGUGGAGCGGUAAAAUGCGCAGAUAUUAGGAAGAACACCGGUGGCGAAGGCGGCUAUCUGGACAGAAACUGACGCUGAGGCGCGAAAGGGUGGGGAGAAAACAGGAUUAGAUGCCCUGGUAGUCCACGCCGUAAACGAUGAAUACUAGGUGUAGGGGGUAUCGGCUCCCUCUGUGCCGCAGUUAACACAAUAAGUAUUCCGCCUGGGGAGUACGGCCGCAAGGUUGAAACUCAAAUGAAUUGACGGGG
RNAcentral lists this ribosomal RNA (397 nucleotides) under uncultured bacterium. RNAcentral describes it as "partial 16S ribosomal RNA". It matches the Rfam family "Bacterial small subunit ribosomal RNA", at positions 523 to 918 of the family's 1533-position model. The record is from RNAcentral.